Zootermopsis nevadensis is the source of this 6618-nucleotide non-coding RNA. The record is from RefSeq and is a predicted model, not a curated record. Lineage: Eukaryota; Metazoa; Arthropoda; Insecta; Blattodea; Termopsidae.
AUUGAGUACUAACGUACUGAUGCUGUUUGUGUGUGUGCAUAUCAAAACACAUUCCAUGGAUUUAUUGUGAUGGUUAUUAUUUGAGCAUCUACCAAUGUAAGGUAUAUGUUUACUUGUGCAUGUUGGAUGGAUCGGGCGGCAAAUUUGAGAACAAAAUUCAGGUUAUUUUUAAUAUGGGUUAGGCUGUGUUGCUUGUAAUCAGUUCUAAGCACAUGGAAUGAAAUUACCAAAUUUUCACACUCUCAAACUUUACAAGGUGGUAAUUGCUUAUAGAUGUGUCUGAAUUUUCUGAGAAGCAAACCUUUUUUAUGGUAUUAAUGCAGAAACAUGGGAAAGACUUCUGAUAGAAAGAAAAAUGUCAAAUACAAGGACAAGAAGUGUUGCUUUUCAAAGUCAAUGAGACGGUCAGCAAGUCACUCUUCAUCAGAGUCAGAUGAGAGUUCAAAAAUCCACCACAGUAAGUCCAGAGUGCAUAAGAACCGACACCAUCGUUCUAGAUCGCCAGUAGAGAAGAAAUCUGAGGAUGCUCACUCCAUAGGAUAUUAUGAAAAACAACGUAUUACUAAGGGAGACAGAGGAGUUUUGGAGACAGACAGGAAAAGGCAGAGUUCGUUUGAUUAUGAAAAUAAAGAAGAAUCACAUAAGUCGUGUCACAGUAGGGAUGAGGGUGAUCAGCCUGAAUUCAGUUUCCAGAUGUAUUCUUAUGAACUGAGAGUUCUCCUUAGAGAUGAAGAUUUAAUACCAGAACCAGAAGAUUUCUGGAAGUUCUUGAAAAAUUAUGAAACUGUUCAAAAGAGAGCAGGAGCGAGGAAACAUGAUUUAGGAUCUGCUGAUACAAGUGCUAAUCCUAAUUCACUGGAUAUACCUUCGGUGUAUGACAAGUCUCACCUCGUAAGCAUUUCCCUCAGAGCAAGCUUGGAACAGUUGGCAUCCCAGUUAUCACCAAGUUGUCGUUUGUCUCAACAACGAUUGUCAGAAUUUCAAGAUAUAUUAUUACUGUACUUGGACUUCAAACAGAAAGAAAAGUUUACCAAACUUCUUAAACUACGCCAGAGUCAAACAAAUUUGCCUAUUGCACAAUACAAAGAGCAGAUUGUAGCAGCAAUAAGAAAUGAGAAUGUAGUAAUAAUAGCUGGAGAUACAGGUUGUGGGAAAUCAACUCAGGUACCACAAUAUCUUCUGGAAGCUGGCUAUAAAGGAAUUGCAUGUACACAACCUCGUCGAAUUGCCUGCAUCUCGUUAUGCAAACGUGUUGCAUUUGAGACACUGAAUGAAUAUGGUUCACAAGUGGGUUACCAGAUUCGUUUUGAAAAAAGCAAAACACAACAUACAAGAAUUGUGUUCAUCACUGAGGGUCUACUUUUACGACAGGUCUCUACAGAUCCCUCGCUCUCUAAUUAUGAUGUGCUGGUGUUGGAUGAGAUACACGAACGCCACCUGUUUGGUGACUUCCUCCUUGGUAUUGUUAAAUGUCUCCUGUUUCAACGCUCUGACCUCAAAGUGGUUCUGAUGUCAGCAACUAUCAACAUAGAACUCUUUCGAGAUUACUUCUCAGUAGAAGCUACAGUAAUACAAGUUCCUGGGCGGUUGUACCCUAUCAAGCUGCAGUAUGUGCCAAUUUCACCUGAGGAGAAGUCAUCUAAGUCAGGGCGAUUGAAUCCAGCUCCGUAUGUACGCAUCAUGCAGCUAAUUGAUGAGAAGUAUCCAAGAAAUGAGAGGGGUGACUUACUUAUUUUCUUGAGUGGAAUGAGUGAAAUCUCCACAGUGGUUGAUGCUGCAAAAUGUUAUUCACAGCAGACUCAGGGCUGGAUUGUACUCCCUCUUCACAGUACCCUGUCUUUGGCAGAUCAAGAUAAGGUUUUUGACUACCCACCAGAUGGAGUUCGCAAGUGUAUAGUAUCAACUAAUAUAGCUGAAACAUCUGUCACAAUUGAUGGUAUACGCUUUGUUGUGGAUUCAGGAAAGGUGAAGGAGAUGAGCUAUGAUCCAAACUGCAAAAUGCAGAAACUCAAAGAAUUUUGGAUCAGUCAAGCCAGUGCAGAACAACGGAAAGGGAGAGCAGGUCGUACAGGUCCUGGUGUUUGCUACCGUUUGUUCUCUGAGGACGAAUACACAAACAUGGACCAGUACUCAACACCUGAGAUCAAGCGAGUGCCUCUUGAUUCACUCUUACUUCAGAUGGUUGCUAUGGGGCUUCCGGAUGCUCGAAAGUUUCCCUUUAUUGAACCACCACCACCUGAAAGUAUUGAAAAUUCUGUCUUGUCCUUAAAGGAGCAGGGUGCCCUUACUGAGAAUGAAAAACUAACAACAAUAGGCCAUAUGCUGUCUCGCUUGCCAGUUGACAUCUCCCUUGGAAAGAUGCUCAUCAUGGGAUCUCUCUUUCAUCAAGUGGAACCAGUGUUAUCCAUGGCUUCAGCCCUGAGUGUACAGACCCCUUUUACAAACAGAUCAUAUAGAGAUUUUCAUUGUGAGGCAGCUUGUAAAGAACUACAGUCUGAUCAUGGUGACCCAUUAACACUGCUCAGUGCCUUUCGUGAGUGGUUGGAGGAAAAAUCUAUGUCGUCAAAUGGUAGAUCAUCAUCUCGACAGUGGUGUCGUCGUAGAGGUCUUGAGGAGCACCGUUUCUAUGAAAUGAUUAAAUUAAGGCGUCAGUUUAAGGACCUGUUACAGGAUUCAGGACUCCUGCAAAGUGAAGCUUUGUCAAAUGAGAAUAUGACAAGUGCUGAGCGCUCAUUUCGUCACGGUGAAGUUAAAUUGUUACGUUCAAUGCGUCAGUCAUACAAAGAAGCUGAGCCUCGAAAGAAGCGAAUUCUCAAGCUAGAUAUAUGGGAGGUAGAAGGCGCAGAAGUUGAAGAGCCUGGUGAUAUUGAUAUCAAGGAUGUUGAGUUUAGACUGAGCAAUAACAGCAUGCAAGUACAGAACCUCUUGUCUGGAUCUACUGCCUGCAGUUACAAGGACCUUAUGAUGCUGAAACUUAUCCUAUGUAGUGGACUGUAUCCCCAGUUGGCAAUUGCUGAUGAAUUCAAUUACUGCAAGUCUGUUUCAGAGCAGUUAUUCCAUACUAGAGCAAAGCCAUAUAUAUCUCUACAUCCAAUGGGAUAUUUUGGAAAUCACCCACAAAUUCUUCAGCUUCAGGAAUCAGACAUUGAAGUGGUACAGAAGAGAGGGUUUAAUUCAAAGUUACCAGUUAGUUCAAAACAUCAGCUGCUAUGCUAUUUGUCACUGUUGGAAACAACAAAACCCUUCCUGGUGACUACAAUGCGGAUGCCUGCUGCUCAGACUUUGCUUCUCUUCUGUCAGUCCAUAGACACUAACUUUGACUUUUCAAAGUUAGUAUGUGACUCCUGGUUACAGCUGGAAUUCCCAUUGCCUGAAGCUGCUAUGUUAUUACUGUUGAAGGCUGCUUUACUGCGAAACAAAUGGGAGAAACUGCUUAAUUUGCGACUUGAAGUGACUUCACCGAGUAUUAACAAUAAGGAGAUGUCAUCUGCAGCAGCCAAGAAAUUGGAGCAAGAACUUUCAAGUGAACUGCCACAGUUUAUGCAUACUGAGAUUAUCUACACAUUGCGAAGAUUGCUGCCUGCUGACCUUAAGGUCAUGUAUGUCGGUUCUGGGGAAAAUGAGGAUCCUGUCACUCCCAACCCAUUUUGUUCAGAUUGGGAAUGUACACCACAUCAAGAGAAAGGCGGGGUCCGGGUUACUCGAUAUAUCACAUUCAACUGUCUUAAUGUAUUUGGUUCAUACCUGGAUGACUACAACGAUGAUUCUGAGAAAGAGUGGCACUGUCCACAUUGUAAUCUCAGUAUGAACUUUGGCUCUAUACAGAAGCUCCAACACAUGGAGACUUGUUCACCUCAAAAUCAACAAGGAACACAUGAAGAAGAAACAAGUACACAGAAGCCCAAUUCCCAGGCUUAUCAAUGUGCACAGUGCAACAAAACUCUGUUUCUCACACCAACAGAAAUUCUGAGACACAAGAAACAUCAUCAGUAACGGCAAGAACAUUUCUUUCACCAAGUUCCUGUGGUAUUAAUCAAGGCUAAAGUACUGCCCUCGAGAAACUUGGAGAAAUUCCAGGGUUGCAGUCGGAUAGUCAUAGUGAUCUGCAUUGGUUCUCAGCACAGACAACAGUAGACAACACGUAGCAUAUUCCCCUCUGCCACAGACCUGUUUCACACUGGACUAAAAGGGACAGCUAGGUGGUUGCCAACAUACGUGAAUGUACAGCAAACAAGCAACAUGAUAAAGAUCUGCACACCAACCAUCUUGUUAUCACUUUUCUUACUUCCAAAAUAUGGUUUGAAAACAAAUGUGGCUAAAAGAAUCUUACAGUUACUAUUUUCACUAUUAUUUACAAACUGUCAGUCACUAUAAACACAGUUAUUUACAUCCAGGUUGAAAUCACUGUCUGCAAGAAAUCCUUUUUUAUUCAACAAGGGACAUGGACAGACUUACUGCUCCUACUACCCCUGGCAUGCUGACAAUUUUAUUUUCAUAUCUGUAAUCUUACAUGCCAUCUAGACAGGGAAUAUUAGAACAUCUACAAGUCUACACUGUCUUAGUAAAACAGCCCAAGCAAUAAACAAAAAUUUGUUCAUUCCUGUUAAAAAUAAUAAGAAAUACAAAAGCUCGUAAUUCAAAGACUGAGUGUUGAAAUGAUGGUCUAAUGGAAGAGUGAGACAGGCAAAAUUUUAUGCCAUUGGCCCUCAACAUUUUAAACCAGAAUGUUAUUAAAAUUCUGUUACCUUGAGGGAGAAGUCACCUUCUAUUCUUUUAAUUGCAUCCUUCAUCUCCAAAACCUUCAAUUUAUAUUUUCGUUCUAUUAUCUCCUUAUACCUGUUUAACUGAAAUAAACAAUUUCAUAAGCAUUGCAAUUAAUAUGAUUAUCUCAGGAAUUUCAAAUUAAUUUUCAAUAUAUUCAUGCUGAACUUCAUAUGCUUAUUUGAAAUAAGCUUUAAAGUGACCAUGUCCUAGGUACAGUACAGUUUUGGGUUCUAGAAGUAUGGGGACUGGGAGAUUUUUCACCUGGCCCAUUCAGCAGUUCAUUUGAAGGAAAGUCAUAGGAAAGGGCGUGACCUUAAAAUUGGACACCAAAUACUGUGCAGUGUAUAUUCCAUUGUGUAAAAAUAAACAGAAGCCAAUUUAAGUAUUUUAAGCAAGUGUGUAAUCAGAUGAUACCAUGCCUGUCAUAAAUUAAUCUAAAGGCAUAAGAGUAAGUGAUAAAACAACAUCCACAAUUUUGGUUACAUUACAUUAUAACAAUAAAGGUAAAUAUAUGUGUGUAUAAAUUAUACUAUGUAUAGCAUAGUCAGUAGUUACAUCUUUAAGCUUAUGAUAUAUUAUAGUGGUGUUUCUAUAAAUACUUGGAGUUUGUUAAUGCUGUAGAUAAAAUAUAUAUUAUUCAAAUGUUGAAAUAUUAAAAGUUUGGGUAAAAAAUUUGUUACAUGUAGUCAGUAGUUGAAGUGUUAAAAUGUAAAUGUUGAAGUAAAGUUGUUGUUGAUUCUAUAAUGUAUGGGCAUAUGUACAACUGGUCCUGGUAUUAACAAACCUGAAAUUAUGUGGUAUGUAACUACUUGCAAGCAACGAGAGAUGUGAGGCAAGAAAAAAUCCAAAAUUUUGGAAGGGAAUGAAUUGAGAGGGAACAAAAUAGGGAAUAUUGAGAGGUAUAUGUAAUUCCACAUUAGCUAGUUGGUGUGACUGUUUUGUACAUUACCCUAUGUUGUUUAUGAUUAACUUUGCCUGUCUAGUCAAACAAUUCCGGGAAUGUACCUACCAGCAUUAAUUUACUGUGUAACUGCUGACUGUGUGUAUGGAAAAGCCUAUCCACAAGCAAUGAUCAACAUCCCCAUUUCCAUAGAAUUUAUAAUCAUCUGCUGGUUUAAUAACAUCUGUGUCCUCUUGUACUCCCACUGAAUCUAACUUACAUUUUGCUAAUUCCCUUAAUACUGUCUUCAAAGAGCCUGCCCUAUAGACUCCUAACAUUCCAGGACCACCCCUUGUUGGCUGUUGGUGACUUGUUCAUUCAAUAUAUUUGCAGCUACUCUCCAUAUCCAGAAAUCUUCUCCUCCGCAACCUGAGAACGCAUCAUGCUGUGGUGACAGAUACCUACUUUACAGAGUUGAUGUAGUGUAUGCCAUAAAAAUUACUUUUACUCAGAUUAAGAAAUAUUCAAAUUAAAAUAUCAUUUUUCAGUGUUACUUGCUUCAUUUCUUAAAGUAGGCAGUAUUAACUUCUUUGGUGAUGAAAAUCAAAUGUUUGUUUUACCCAUUUCAUCCUAGUUUUUCCCAUGAUUCACAAUUUCCAAGAAUAUACAGGCAACUCAGCACAUUCUUCCAAAAAAUAUAUUUUUAACUUAUUUCAAGAUGAUGUAGUAAUAAUCAGUAAAUUUGGUAGUUGCUGAAGUUGGAUCACAGAGUGUAACACCUACCAAAAUGGAUCCAGCCCAAUAAUGUUGUUGUAUAAACAUGCAUGCACUAAUUCAAGACUUUUUUAUGUAUUGGGGAAGGAAAAAAAAGUGUGCACACACAGAAAGCAGUUUAUUAUAUAAUGAAUGUUAUUAACUAUGUAAAGCUGUCAGUAGUGAAGUUAAUAAAAUUACUUUUAUGUUUCUUUGUAAAA